This 670-nucleotide ribosomal RNA is filed under the name Idolomorpha madagascariensis. Its description in RNAcentral is "eukaryotic LSU rRNA". It matches the Rfam family "Eukaryotic large subunit ribosomal RNA", at positions 1268 to 1862 of the family's 3401-position model. The record is from RNAcentral. Lineage: Eukaryota; Metazoa; Arthropoda; Insecta; Mantodea; Empusidae.
CCGCUAAGGAGUGUGUAACAACUCACCUGCCGAAGCAACUAGCCCUGAAAAUGGAUGGCGCUAAAGCUCCGUGCCUAUACCCGGCCGCCGGAAGGCAUAGGCGUGAGCCGUUCGCGGCGAGCGCGCGAAGCCCCGGCGAGUAGGAGGGCGCGGCGGUGUGCGCGGAAGGGUCUGGGCGUGAGCCUGCCUGGAGCCGCCGCCGGUGCAGAUCUUGGUGGUAGUAGCAAAUACUCAAGCGAGGGCCUUGAGGGCUGAUGUGGAGAAGGGUUUCGUGUGAACAGCCGUUGCACACGAGUCAGUCGAUCCUAAGCCCUAGGAGAAAUCCGAUGUCGAUGCAGGGGGCCGUUUCACGUGCUCCCCCUCGAUGGGCGAAAGGGAAUCCGGUUCCUAUUCCGGAACCCGGCAGCGGAACCGAAUCUACGGGCCCUCGUCAGAGAAGCUCGUCGGGGUAACCCAAAGGGACCCGGAGACGCCGUCGGGAGACCCGGGCAGAGUUUUCUGUUCUGCAUAAGCGUUCGAGUUCCCUGGAAUCCUCUAGCAGGGAGAUAGGGUUUGGAACGCGAAGAGCACCGCAGUUGCGGCGGUGUCCGGGUCGUCCCCUCGGACCUUGAAAAUCCGGGAGAGGGUCACGCGGAGGUGUCGCGCCGGCUCGUACCCAUAUCCGCAGCAG